GGCCAGACUCCUACGGGAGGCAGCAGUGGGGAAUAUUGCACAAUGGGGGAAACCCUGAUGCAGCGACGCCGCGUGAGCGAUGAAGUAUUUCGGUAUGUAAAGCUCUAUCAGCAGGGAAGAAGAUGACGGUACCUGACUAAGAAGCCCCGGCUAACUACGUGCCAGCAGCCGCGGUAAUACGUAGGGGGCAAGCGUUAUCCGGAUUUACUGGGUGUAAAGGGGGCGCAGACGGCGAUGCAAGCCAGGAGUGAAAGCCCGGGGCCCAACCCCGGGACUGCUCUUGGAACUGCGUGGCUGGAGUGCAGGAGGGGCAGGCGGAAUUCCUGGUGUAGCGGUGAAAUGCGUAGAUAUCAGGAGGAACACCGGUGGCGAAGGCGGCCUGCUGGACUGCAACUGACGUUGAGGCCCGAAAGCGUGGGGAGCAAACAGGAUUAGAUACCCGCGUA
Molecule: ribosomal RNA, 446 nt
Filed under: uncultured bacterium
Lineage: Bacteria
Description: bacterial SSU rRNA
Rfam family: Bacterial small subunit ribosomal RNA
Source: RNAcentral